Long non-coding RNA from Armigeres subalbatus, 851 nucleotides. RefSeq lists it as uncharacterized. The record is from RefSeq and is a predicted model, not a curated record. The transcript has 3 exons. Lineage: Eukaryota; Metazoa; Arthropoda; Insecta; Diptera; Culicidae.
CUCAGCGACUGCGAACGAGAACAGGCGAGAAAAAAACUGCAGUCGGUCGGCAUUGUUUUCAGUUUGUUGACAUUUUGUUUGCCAGUGAAGAGGCACAGAAAAGUCACGGCAACAAAUAUGGCCAACAGGAUCGGAUUCCUUUUUCCCAACUGCGCAAAGGUAGCAAAAAUGUAUCUCCCAACGGGUACCGUGCAUCGGAGCGAAUAAGAGGACUCAUCUGAUUUAAUAAUCCGUCAACUAAGGAUCCGGGUUUUCCUGGACCACCAUUUACUUCGGAUGUGAAGCCGGCACCAAAUUUGAAAAAUUAAAUUGCGCAGACAAAAUCUUCGGUGGAUUCGAGCGCACCUCAACUGCUGGGACUGCGAAAAAACAAUAUUUGCUGGAACAGGUAUGGCCCGAAUAGAGGCCCAGAAAGUGCGUAUGGAAAAACAUAAUUAUUAACGGAUUCACAAAAGAGAAAUGUCGGGUACGUAUUCAAAAGGAGAUAUGUGACUUUGUAAACAAAUAUUCAAACGUCCCUUUGUCCAAUCUGACAAACCGUUACCACACACGGUAGGGGGAGGCUUCGGCUACCUGUUGUUGGUGUUGGUUGGCAUGGGAGUGCCAUAAUCGUAGUUUGAAUCUUUGUUAACAAAAUAACGUACCUAUGUCGUUUUGAAUAAGUACCCAGGAAAUAUUGUCAUUGGCCAGAGCAUCUGAUGAGAAUAGGGUAAUAGCUAAAUGCCAACAGGAGCUCCAAAUUGUCAAAUACCCAACAUGUUCGGGAAGAAGAACAAAUGAAACCGAUGCGAAUUUAAUUUAAAAUAUAAAAUUUAAGAAUAAAAAUUGGAAAUUCAAAAAUUAAAAUUUUA